AUACGGAGGAUCCGAGCGUUAUCCGGAUUUAUUGGGUUUAAAGGGAGCGUAGAUGGAUGUUUAAGUCAGUUGUGAAAGUUUGCGGCUCAACCGUAAAAUUGCAGUUGAUACUGGUUUCCUUGAGUACGGUACAGGUGGGCGGAAUUCGUGGUGUAGCGGUGAAAUGCUUAGAUAUCACGAAGAACUCCGAUCGCGAAGGCAGCUCACCGGGCCGGAACUGACACUGAUGCUCGAAAGUGCGGGUAUCAAACAGGAUUAGAUACCCUGGUAGUCCGCACAGUAAACGAUGAAUACUCGCUGUUUGCGAUACACGGUAAGCGGCCAAGCGAAAGCGUUAAGUAUUCCACCUGGGGAGUACGCCGGCAACGGUGAAACUCAAAUGAAUUGGCGGGG
This 393-nucleotide ribosomal RNA is filed under the name uncultured bacterium. RNAcentral's name for it is "partial 16S ribosomal RNA". It matches the Rfam family "Bacterial small subunit ribosomal RNA", at positions 523 to 918 of the family's 1533-position model. The record is from RNAcentral.